RNAcentral lists this ribosomal RNA (835 nucleotides) under uncultured bacterium. RNAcentral describes it as "bacterial SSU rRNA". It matches the Rfam family "Bacterial small subunit ribosomal RNA", at positions 8 to 887 of the family's 1533-position model. The record is from RNAcentral.
AGAGUUUGAUCCUGGCUCAGAGCGAACGCUGGCGGCAGGCUUAACACAUGCAAGUCGAACGGGCAUAGCAAUAUGUCAGUGGCAGACGGGUGAGUAACGCGUGGGAACAUACCUCUUGGUUCGGAACAACACAGGGAAACUUGUGCUAAUACCGGAUAAGCCCUUACGGGGAAAGAUUUAUCGCCGAGAGAUUGGCCCGCGUCUGAUUAGCUAGUUGGUGUGGUAAAAGCGCACCAAGGCGACGAUCAGUAGCUGGUCUGAGAGGAUGAUCAGCCACAUUGGGACUGAGACACGGCCCAAACUCCUACGGGAGGCAGCAGUGGGGAAUCUUGCGCAAUGGGCGAAAGCCUGACGCAGCCAUGCCGCGUGAAUGAUGAAGGUCUUAGGAUUGUAAAAUUCUUUCACCGGGGACGAUAAUGACGGUACCCGGAGAAGAAGCCCCGGCUAACUUCGUGCCAGCAGCCGCGGUAAUACGAAGGGGGCUAGCGUUGCUCGGAAUUACUGGGCGUAAAGGGAGCGUAGGCGGACUGUUUAGUCAGAGGUGAAAGCCCAGGGCUCAACCUUGGAAUUGCCUUUGAUACUGGCAGUCUUGAGUACGGAAGAGGUAUGUGGAACUCCGAGUGUAGAGGUGAAAUUCGUAGAUAUUCGGAAGAACACCAGUGGCGAAGGCGACAUACUGGUCCGUUACUGACGCUGAGGCUCGAAAGCGUGGGGAGCAAACAGGAUUAGAUACCCUGGUAGUCCACGCCGUAAACGAUGAGUGCUAGUUGUCGGCAUGCAUGCAUGUCGGUGACGCAGCUAACGCAUUAAGCACUCCGCCUGGGGGAGUACGGUC